UAAUAAUAAUUAUUUAUAAUUUAUCACUUGUUUAUAGGACCUAUUGAGAGUAAUAAUGCCAGAACACAAAUAAAACAAGUCAAUUAUCAAUCAUUAGAUGGAAACCCCUGUUAGACAAAUAUCCUCUAAAGAGUGACCUCCUUAGGUUAUUCAAAGAUUCUGGUGUUCAUAGUAAAAUUAUUGGUACUGCACUUGAUGUUCAAGUAAACGACCUAGUACCUCUUCCUCAGCUUACCUCAGAUAACCUCAUACUUGUGUUCCAGAGAUGGAUAGACUCUGAUAAUGACGUGACCUGGAGGAAUUUAACAUACUUCAAGUAUGUGAAGAUUAUCCGGAUGAACUUGGAAAAGCAAAAUCUGAUGUGGAGGGAUUCCUGUCAUCAGAUAGAGCCCGUA
RNAcentral lists this long non-coding RNA (395 nucleotides) under Amphimedon queenslandica. RNAcentral describes it as "uncharacterized LOC109588146, transcript variant X2". The record is from RNAcentral. Lineage: Eukaryota; Metazoa; Porifera; Demospongiae; Haplosclerida; Niphatidae.